UACGUAGGGUGCAAGCGUUAAUCGGAAUUACUGGGCGUAAAGCGUGCGCAGGCGGUUGUGUAAGUCUGGCGUGAAAUCCCCGGGCUUAACCUGGGAAUGGCGUUGGAUACUGCACGGCUAGAGUGUGUCAGAGGGGGGUAGAAUUCCACGUGUAGCAGUGAAAUGCGUAGAUAUGUGGAGGAAUACCGAUGGCGAAGGCAGCCCCCUGGGAUAACACUGACGCUCAUGCACGAAAGCGUGGGGAGCAAACAGG
Molecule: ribosomal RNA, 253 nt
Filed under: uncultured bacterium
Lineage: Bacteria
Description: partial 16S ribosomal RNA
Rfam family: Bacterial small subunit ribosomal RNA
Source: RNAcentral